RNA transcript from Rhinopithecus roxellana (golden snub-nosed monkey), 593 nucleotides. It is a transcript of the gene named 60S ribosomal protein L22 pseudogene, with no coding region annotated. The transcript has a single exon. The record is from RefSeq and is a predicted model, not a curated record. Lineage: Eukaryota; Metazoa; Chordata; Mammalia; Primates; Cercopithecidae.
CUAAUUCCGCUGCGGCCAUGGCUCCAGUGAAAAAACUUGUGGCGAAGGGGGGCAAAAAAAAGAAGCAGGUUCUGAAGUUCACUCUUGAUUGCACCCACCCUGUAGAAGAUGGAAUCAUGGAUGCUGCCAAUUUUGAGCAGUUUUUGCAAGAAAGGAUCAAAGUGAACGGAAAAGCUGGGAACCUUGGUGGAGGGGUGGUGACCAUCGAAAGGAGCAAGAGCAAGAUCACCGUGACAUCUGAGGUGCCUUUCUCCAAAAGGGAAAAGUGGACAGUUGAAUUGACAUCUUCACACUUGGUGGUGAUUGCUUUGUUGGUGUGGAGAUUGCUUUGUUGGUGUGGAGCACUGUCACAGUGCUCCUUUUUUGGAGAUGGUAUUUGAAAUAUCUCACCAAAAAAUAUUUGAAGAAGAAUAAUCUACGUGACUGGUUGCGCGUAGUUGCUAACAGCAAAGAGAGUUAAGAAUUACGUUACUUCCAGAUUAACCAGGACGAAGAAGAGGAGGAAGAUGAGGAUUAAAUUUCAUUUAUCCGGAAUAUUUUGUAUGAGUUCUUGAAUAAAACUUGGGAACCAAAAAAAAAAAAAAAAAAAAAAA